UACGGGGGGGGCAAGCGUUGUUCGGAAUUACUGGGCGUAAAGGGCGCGUAGGCGGUUUGCUAAGUUGGAUGUGAAAACUCUGGGCUUAACCCAGAGCCUGCAUCCAAAACUGGCAAACUUGAGUACUGGAGGGGAAAGCGGAAUUCCUGGUGUAGCGGUGAAAUGCGUAGAUAUCAGGAGGAACACCGGUGGCGAAGGCGGCUUUCUGGACGAUGACUGACGCUGAGACGCGAAAGCGUGGGGAGCAAACAGG
RNAcentral lists this ribosomal RNA (253 nucleotides) under uncultured bacterium. RNAcentral describes it as "partial 16S ribosomal RNA". It matches the Rfam family "Bacterial small subunit ribosomal RNA", at positions 524 to 776 of the family's 1533-position model. The record is from RNAcentral.